GACGAACGCUGGCGGCGUGCUUAACACAUGCAAGUCGAACGGAAAGGCCCUGCUUUUGUGGGGUGCUCGAGUGGCGAACGGGUGAGUAACACGUGAGUAACCUGCCCUUGACUUUGGGAUAACUUCAGGAAACUGGGGCUAAUACCGGAUAGGAGCUCCUGCUGCAUGGUGGGGGUUGGAAAGUUUCGGCGGUUGGGGAUGGACUCGCGGCUUAUCAGCUUGUUGGUGGGGUAGUGGCUUACCAAGGCUUUGACGGGUAGCCGGCCUGAGAGGGUGACCGGCCACAUUGGGACUGAGAUACGGCCCAGACUCUUACGGGAGGCAGCGGUGGGGAAUAUUGCACAAUGGGCGGAAGCCUGAUGCAGCAACGCCGCGUGCGGGAGGACGGCCUUCGGGUUGUAAACCGCUUUCGCCUGUGACGAAGCGUGAGUGACGGUAAUGGGUAAAGAAGCACCGGCUAACUACGU
This 467-nucleotide ribosomal RNA is filed under the name uncultured bacterium. RNAcentral describes it as "partial 16S ribosomal RNA". It matches the Rfam family "Bacterial small subunit ribosomal RNA", at positions 28 to 506 of the family's 1533-position model. The record is from RNAcentral.